UUGGAGGGCAAGUCUGGUGCCAGCAGCCGCGGUAAUUCCAGCUCCAAUAGCGUAUAUUAAAGUUGUUGUGGUUAAAAAGCUCCUAGUUGAAUGUCGAGAUCAAAUUGUUGGUCGUGCCUCGGUACGUACUGGCAUUAUUGAUUGUCCCUUCUGAAGAACCACGAUGUCAUUAAUUUGGUGUCGUGGGGAAUCAGGACUGUUACUUUGAAAAAAUUAGAGUGUUUAAAGCAGGC
RNAcentral lists this ribosomal RNA (233 nucleotides) under uncultured Glomus. RNAcentral's name for it is "partial 18S ribosomal RNA". It matches the Rfam family "Eukaryotic small subunit ribosomal RNA", at positions 548 to 785 of the family's 1831-position model. The record is from RNAcentral. Lineage: Eukaryota; Fungi; Glomeromycota; Glomeromycetes; Glomerales; Glomeraceae.